Molecule: ribosomal RNA, 239 nt
Filed under: Salmonella enterica subsp. enterica serovar Denver
Lineage: Bacteria; Pseudomonadati; Pseudomonadota; Gammaproteobacteria; Enterobacterales; Enterobacteriaceae
Description: partial 16S ribosomal RNA
Rfam family: Bacterial small subunit ribosomal RNA
Source: RNAcentral
AAAUUGAAGAGUUUGAUCAUGGCUCAGAUUGAACGCUGGUGGCAGGCCUAACACAUGCAAGUCGAACGGUAACAGGAAGCAGCUUGCUGCUUUGCUGACGAGUGGCGGACGGGUGAGUAAUGUCUGGGAAACUGCCUGAUGGAGGGGGAUAACUACUGGAAACGGUGGCUAAUACCGCAUAAUGUCGCAAGACCAAAGAGGGGGACCUUCGGGCCUCUUGCCAUCAGAUGUGCCCAGAU